Molecule: ribosomal RNA, 574 nt
Filed under: uncultured bacterium
Lineage: Bacteria
Description: bacterial SSU rRNA
Rfam family: Bacterial small subunit ribosomal RNA
Source: RNAcentral
ACGGGUGAGUAACACAUGGGUGACCUACCCCACAGUGAGGAAUACCGGCGAGAAAUCGCCGACAAGACCGCAUAGGCUUUCUCGGGUGGCCCUGAGGAAGCAAAGUCGCAAGACGCUGAGGGAUGGGCCUGUGGCCGAUUAGCUAGUUGGUGGGGUAAGCGCUCACCAAGGCGACGAUCGGUAGCUGGUCUGAGAGGACGAUCAGCCACACUGGGAUUGAGAACGGCCCAGACUCCUACGGGGGGCAGCAGUGAGGAAUUUUCCGCAAUGGUCGCAAGACUGACGGAGCAACGCCGCGUGCAGGAGGACGCUUUUCGGAGUGUAAACUGCUUUUCUGUGGGAAGAGGAUGGACGGUACCACAGGAAGAAGCCCCGGCUAACUACGUGCCAGCAGCCGCGGUAAUACGUAGGGGGCGAGCGUUGUCCGGAGUUACUGGGCGUAAAGGGCACGCAGGCGGUGCGGCGCGUUUCGCGUGACAGCGGAGGGCUUACCUCUCCGAGGAUGCGAAAGACGGCCGCACUUGAGGGCCAGAGAGGGACACGGAAUUCCGGGUGGAGUGGUGAAAUGCGUAGA